UACGUAGGGGGCAAGCGUUGUCCGGAAUUACUGGGCGUAAAGGGCGGGUAGGCGGCCACCGCAAGUCAGUUGUGAAAUCUCUGGGCUUAACCCAGAAAGGUCAACUGAUACUGCGGGGCUAGAGUGCAGAAGGGGCAACUGGAAUUCUCGGUGUAGCGGUGAAAUGCGUAGAUAUCGAGAGGAACACCUGCGGCGAAGGCGGGUUGCUGGGCUGACACUGACGCUGAACUGCGAAAGCUAGGGGAGCGAACGGG
This 254-nucleotide ribosomal RNA is filed under the name uncultured bacterium. Its description in RNAcentral is "partial 16S ribosomal RNA". It matches the Rfam family "Bacterial small subunit ribosomal RNA", at positions 524 to 776 of the family's 1533-position model. The record is from RNAcentral.